AGCUCUGAAGUAGGCUACCACAAGUACAUGCUUUCAGAUCAUACUUACUUAUUUUCCCAUUCUGAAUAUGCUCUCUGAUGCAUCAUCAUUCAGAAAAUUUUGUGAGCCUUCCCGUAGUAUCUGUUUAUGAAUGGAGACUUGACCUGAGAUACAUCAGGAGCAUCAGGUGAGGUCACAGGAUAAUAUUUGUAGAACUUCAUACUCUGAAAUGCAGCCUUCGCUUCUUCACUCAUCUCCUGUAUAGCCUUUUUCCUGGCUUCUCUCGCCUCUCGGUUGCUCCUCUUUCCUUCCUUAACCUGCUGCUUCACAUAUUCCACAAAUUCAUCUUUUUUAUCUGCCGGCAACUCCUCUGACUCGAUAAAUUUGUCUGCCAUUUCCUCUGGCUCAUCAAAUUCCCAAUCAAACUCACAAAACACAGGCGGUUCUGAUGGGAACAAAAUCUGCACAGUGGUGCUCUGUUCAAUUUCAUCUUCUGCAAAUGGGUGAUAGAAAUAAGGUAAGCAAUACUCAAACUUCUUAAUUCG
Molecule: unclassified non-coding RNA, 524 nt
Filed under: Hevea brasiliensis (rubber tree)
Lineage: Eukaryota; Viridiplantae; Streptophyta; Magnoliopsida; Malpighiales; Euphorbiaceae
Source: RNAcentral